Long non-coding RNA from Mauremys reevesii (Reeves's turtle), 262 nucleotides. RefSeq lists it as uncharacterized. The record is from RefSeq and is a predicted model, not a curated record. The transcript is spliced from 3 exons. NCBI's taxonomy places the organism in Eukaryota, Metazoa, Chordata, Testudines, Geoemydidae.
CUUGAAAACACAUUUCCACAAAGAAAUCCUGUUUGAUCAAGAAUCACAGCUGGUCCUUUGUCUCUUAUCGCGUCAUCAAGGAGGGGUUACAAGCCAGGGAAGUAUCUUCAUGGGUCAGUACCUGGAAUGCUAGUAUCCAAAACAAAGAUAACCAAGGAACAGAACAACAAGCUAGGGAACUGGAACAAACUGAUGGACUGGAUUUUAGAGCCAUGUAAUGAGAUGUGUAAUUUGUAAAUUCAUAUAAAUACCAACUGAAAUG